This 407-nucleotide ribosomal RNA is filed under the name uncultured bacterium. RNAcentral describes it as "partial 16S ribosomal RNA". It matches the Rfam family "Bacterial small subunit ribosomal RNA", at positions 28 to 526 of the family's 1533-position model. The record is from RNAcentral.
GACGAACGCUGGCGGCGUGCCUAAUACAUGCAAGUAGGACGCAGUUGCGAAUGGGUUAGUAACGCGUAGGUAACUGCCUAUUAGAGGGGGAUAACUAUUGUAGACGAUAGCUAAUACCGCAUACUUGUAGAUGGACCUGCGUUGUAUUUGCUAGGCGGUAGGGUAAUGGCCUACCUAGGCGGAGAAACAUAGCCGACCUGGGAGGGGUGUCGGCCAACAUGGGACUGGGAAACGGCCCAGACUCCUACGGGAGGCAGCAGUAGGGAAACAUCGGAAAUGGGGGGAAACCUGACCGAGCAACGGCGCGGGAGUGAAGAAGGUUUUCGGAUCGUAAAGCUCUGUUGUUAAGGAAGCGGUACUUAAUCAGAAAGGAACGGCUAACUACGUGCCAGCAGCCGCGGUAAUUC